This is a long non-coding RNA of Labeo rohita (rohu), 1470 nucleotides long. RefSeq lists it as uncharacterized. The record is from RefSeq and is a predicted model, not a curated record. Lineage: Eukaryota; Metazoa; Chordata; Actinopteri; Cypriniformes; Cyprinidae. The transcript has 3 exons.
UGAAUGCACAUCAAAGACUGACAGGGAAGAGAAGAAACUGUUGAAUAAAAUCUUUUUUUUUUUUUUCCUUUGUACACAAAAACUAUUCUCUUAGUUCUUCAUAAAAUUACAGUUGAACCACUGAUGUCACAGGGACUUAUUUUUACAAUAUACUUACUACCUUUUUGGGCUUUAAGCAUGUCAGUUGCAUUGCUGUCUAUGCAGGGUCAGAAAGCUCUCAGAUUUAAUCAAAAAUAUCUUAAUUUGUGCUCCGAAGAUGAACAUGAUGAGGUCUUAUGGAUUUGGAACGGCAUGAGGGGCCUUCUGAAACUUUGACGAGGUGGUCCCUCUGUAGAAGCACUCCGUCUGUCCACAUGCUAUAAAGGAAUUAAGCUUCCUAUCAAACCUUUGUCAGCUCACUCAUGUGCAGUGAUUAGAAAACCAAGUAACUGAAUGAAAAUACUGGAACCAAAACUCAACAGCCAAAGCAGACACACUGCGAAUGAAAACAGUACAGUCAUCGACAGGAAAGUGUGCUGUAAACGAAUGAAUGAAAGUGACUAAUUAAAAGGGAAACAGAUCAAGUAAACAUGAUGACAGGGUGAAUCCUCUCUCUGUGGCCUUAACUGAAGCCUGCUGGCUGGAGAGGGACAGGCUGUUUGUGUGCUGUCUGACAGGAGGAAAUGACUGUUAUCAUACCAAAUGAAAUCAAGCCCUGACGCUCUCCUUCAGCUAACAGCACGGGGUCAUGCGGCGGUCUCGGACCCCCUCCGCACCCUGCUAGUGAUACUAUGUGGUCUCAGCACACGGACCAGAGAAAGUCCUCCUCUUUAUUCAAGCUACAUUACUAUCGUACGUUUAGCAGGGUAUCAUAGGGAUUCAGAAAAGUUUAUUGACAAUGACUGCUUGUGAAUUAGGGUAAAACGUUGAUGGCUUUGGUUGAGACAAUGCUCUUGGAAAAUUCUCUGCAAAAUAAGAAAGAGAGAAGACAUUGGCACUCACACGUAUUAACCCUGUAAAGCCUACUGUAUCAUAUUUCAUAAACCUGCUGUACACAACCAUCUGCAUGCCUUCAGCCUGAUAGUUUUGUUUAUUUUUUUAUUUUUUUCUCGGUAUUUUAAAUUAAAAAAAGAAGUCUUGAUGAGCAUAACAGAUAUUGUUUAAAACUUUAAACGAUUUUAUCAACAAACUGAAAAAAAAAAAAUGUAAUAAAACGCAAAAAAGCUUAACAAAAAGGACAGAAAUGUAUCAUAUUUGAUAAACCUGCUGUACACAACUAACUGCAUGAAUUCAGCCUCAUAGUUUUGCUGUGAAAUUUUACAUUUUAAUGUUUUUUAAAAUGUAAAACUAGUUUUUAUAUUGUUAGCAAUAUUUUAAGAUGAACAUUUACUGGGCUGAAGCAACUUAGGUGUGCAAAUAUGAUACAACAUGCUUUUGAAGAAUGUUUAUUUGUACAUCUCUCAAUCAUCAUUGUACUUCAUUGCAGUAUGU